GGCCCUAUCGUCUAGCGGUUAGGACACCAGGUUUUCAUCNNGGGUUCGACUCCCCGUAGGGUCACCA
Molecule: transfer RNA, 67 nt
Filed under: Candidatus Saccharimonadota bacterium
Lineage: Bacteria; Candidatus Saccharimonadota
Description: tRNA-OTHER
Source: RNAcentral